UACGUAGGUGGCAAGCGUUGUCCGGAAUUAUUGGGCGUAAAGAGCUCGUAGGCGGUCUGUUGCGUCGGCUGUGAAAACCCGGGGCUCAACUCCGGGCCUGCAGCCGAUACGGGCAGACUAGAGUUCGGCAGGGGAGACUGGAAUUCCUGGUGUAGCGGUGAAAUGCGCAGAUAUCAGGAGGAACACCAAUGGCGAAGGCAGCUCGCUGGGACGGUACUGACGCUGAGACGCGAAAGCGUGGGGAGCAAACAGG
RNAcentral lists this ribosomal RNA (253 nucleotides) under uncultured bacterium. RNAcentral describes it as "partial 16S ribosomal RNA". It matches the Rfam family "Bacterial small subunit ribosomal RNA", at positions 524 to 776 of the family's 1533-position model. The record is from RNAcentral.